UUAAAAGACUGCUCGG
RNAcentral lists this ribosomal RNA (16 nucleotides) under Listronotus bonariensis (Argentine stem weevil). Its description in RNAcentral is "partial 5.8S ribosomal RNA". The record is from RNAcentral. Lineage: Eukaryota; Metazoa; Arthropoda; Insecta; Coleoptera; Curculionidae.